Molecule: non-coding RNA, 91 nt
Organism: Acanthosepion pharaonis
Lineage: Eukaryota; Metazoa; Mollusca; Cephalopoda; Sepiida; Sepiidae
Source: the annotation of a GenBank genome assembly
ACCAUAUCACAUGUGACCACUGCAGUUAAGCAACAUCUAGCCUGGUCAGUACCUAGAUGAGUGACCAUUUGGGAAUACCAGGUGCUGUAAG